This is a long non-coding RNA of Lytechinus pictus (painted urchin), 307 nucleotides long. RefSeq lists it as uncharacterized. The transcript is spliced from 3 exons. The record is from RefSeq and is a predicted model, not a curated record. NCBI's taxonomy places the organism in Eukaryota, Metazoa, Echinodermata, Echinoidea, Temnopleuroida, Toxopneustidae.
GUGGUGACGUACGAAGCUAGCGGCGUCUCUCAAAUUCUGGACUAAGAUACGCGGCCGGCCGGGCGGAGGUCAACAUUUUCUGAUCAUGGACGAUUUUGUAACAGAAAAACUGAAAGAAUGGGACCUUGAAAGGUUCAGUCAGAACUUUGAAGAUAAUGAAAUAGACCAACUUGGUCUAUGUCUUGUGAAUGAAACAACUGCUAAAGAGCUCAUCCCCCCGUCAUUGGAAAAUCAAAAAGUGGAAAUUACCUAUGAAACAGUUAUUAGAUAAGCCUUCUCUGCAAAACAAUUGAUAAUUAGAGCUGUA